Molecule: unclassified non-coding RNA, 1791 nt
Filed under: uncultured fungus
Lineage: Eukaryota; Fungi
Description: sequence contains 18S rRNA gene, ITS1, 5.8S rRNA gene, ITS2, 28S rRNA gene
Rfam family: Eukaryotic large subunit ribosomal RNA (bases 677-1791)
Source: RNAcentral
GGAAGGAUCAUUAAAACGUUCCAAAACGUAUUAACCAAAUGUGAACUUGUUUUUAACCACAAAACAUUUUUAACCAUACCUUUUUGCUAGUUGACUUUUAUAUGUUAGUAGAAGAAAUGUAUUCUAUGUUUCUUUUAUUACACGUUUCUUAAUUGAAUCGAUAAAAUUACAACUCUUAGCAAUGGAUAUCUUGGUUCUCGCAACGAUGAAGAACGCAGCGAAAUGCGAUACGUAAUGCGAAUUGCAGAAUUCAGUGAAUCAUCAAAUCUUUGAACGCAAAUUGCGCUCUUGGGUUAGUCCUAGGAGCACGCCUCUCUCAGUAUCGGUUCAAACUCAUCUCAGCAGCGUACUGUGUGUAACAGCAUAUGUAUGUGUUAGCUGGAAAAUGAGAGUCUAAAGAAUUCAUUCCUUUAGUCUCUUUAAAUCUAUCGAGUGAGACAUCAUUUCUUAUACACUUUCCUUUGAUUAGGAAAAGCUAAUUUAUUGAUUAGUUGUUUGUAAGAGUAUGACGUGAAUACUGACCUUCGUUGGUCGAAUCAUUUACGUGUAACUUUUCGAACGGCUAUUAAAAGUCAAUUUCUUAGUGUCUAAGUUUAAAUAUGUUCCUCAUGUUGUCGUGACCGUUAACAACGUCACAAUCGAUUAGUUUGCCUAACAACAAAUUUAAUCUGAAUUUUGAUCUGAGAUGAAGCGAGACAACCCCCUGAAUUUAAGCAUAUUAAUAAGGGGAGGAAAAGAAACUAACAAGGAUUCCCUUAGUAACGGCGAGUGAAGCGGGAAGAGCUCAAUUUGAAAAUCGAUAACCUAAGCGGGUCAUCGAAUUGUAGCCUAUAGACGUACUAUCAGCUAAAACCUGGGUAUAAGUUCUUUGGAAUGAGGCAUCAUAGAGGGUGAGAAUCCCGUAUAUGACCCAAAGUUUUUAGCGUACGAUGUGCGUUCAUUGAGUCGAGUUGUUUGGGAUUGCAGCUCUAAAUGGGUGGUAAGUUUCAUCUAAAGCUAAAUAAUGGCGAGAGACCGAUAGCGAACAAGUACCGUGAGGGAAAGAUGAAAAGAACUUUGAAAAGAGAGUUAAAAGUACUUGAAAUUGCUAAGAGGGAAGCGCUGACAACCAGUGAUUCAUAUGCUAUAUCGCUAUUAGCACUCCUAGUUUGCGUGGUUAGUUGGAAACUCUGACUGCGUAAACGAAAGGGAUGUUGGUAGUUUAAUAGUAUGUGUUAGUCAAGAUUCAUUCGAAUUGUGGGAGAAGGUAGUAAGAAAGGUGAGCUACUCCGGUAGCUGUUAUAGUCUUAUUACUCUACCUCGAUUUGGAUGGAGGAAGUAAUAGUGCGCUGCUUGCGGCUUAGUCCCAUGCUCCUAUCUGGUUUUGCGAUUUAGAUAGCAAUGCUAUGUCUGUUGUAAAAUUAGAUACUGGGUGUGGUGUACUCUAUGUGCUAUCACGAUCUUGUACGAAAUGGUUGUCAUCGACCCGUCUUGAAACACGGACCAAGGAGUCUAACAUCUAUGCAAGUAUUUGAGUGAAAAACUCUGAUGCGUAAUGAAAGUAAAGGAAGUCUUGUACUUCUGAGGUAGGAAUCCGGUCAAACGGAGGCACUAUCGACCGAUCAUCACUUGUGAAAGAUUUGAGUAAGAGCAUAUCUGUUGGGACCCGAAAGAUGGUGAUCUAUGCCUGAACAGGGUGAAGCCUCAGGAAACUGAGGUGGAGGCUCGUAGCGAUACUGACGUGCAAAUCGUUCGUCUGAUUUGGGUAUAGGGGCGAAAGACUAAUCGAACCAUCUAGUAGCUGGUUCCCUC